GAGUUUGAUCCUGGCUCAGGAUGAACGCCGGCGGUGUGCCUAAUACAUGCAAGUCGUACGCACUGGCCCAACUGAUUGAUGGUGCUUGCACCUGAUUGACGAUGGAUCACCAGUGAGUGGCGGACGGGUGAGUAACACGUAGGUAACCUGCCCCGGAGCGGGGGAUAACAUUUGGAAACAGAUGCUAAUACCGCAUAACAACAAAGGCCACAUGGCUUUUGUUUGAAAGAUGGCUUUGGCCAUCACUCUGGGAUGGACCUGCGGUGCAUUAGCUAGUUGGUAAGGUAACGGCUUACCAAGGCGAUGAUGCAUAGCCGAGUUGAGAGACUGAUCGGCCACAAUGGAACUGGAGACACGGUCCAUACUCCUACGGGAGGCAGCAGUAGGGAAUCUUCCACAAUGGCGCAAGCCUGAUGGAGCAACACCGCGUGAGUGAAGAAGGGUUUCGGCUCGUAAAGCUACUGUUGUUGGAGAAGAACGUGCGUGAGAGU
This 491-nucleotide ribosomal RNA is filed under the name uncultured microorganism. RNAcentral describes it as "bacterial SSU rRNA". It matches the Rfam family "Bacterial small subunit ribosomal RNA", at positions 9 to 462 of the family's 1533-position model. The record is from RNAcentral.